Molecule: telomerase RNA, 1525 nt
Filed under: Trichoderma reesei QM6a
Lineage: Eukaryota; Fungi; Ascomycota; Sordariomycetes; Hypocreales; Hypocreaceae
Description: Ascomycota telomerase RNA
Rfam family: Ascomycota telomerase RNA
Source: Rfam by way of RNAcentral
CGCUCAUCUGCACGUCGCCUCCCCUACAGUUUCCCGACUCUCGUUUUCCGCAAGGAAUGUCUAUCGCAGACCCCUCUUCCAAGGCUUGGUCGGCCGCAAUGUGCCGCGUCCGAGCCUGCUCCAGGACCUCGUUGAAUGCUGCAGCUGGAUCUAUUGCGGCCAGUCUCCGUCUGGCACCCGGAUGGCCAAGUCUAGCAGAGGGAACGAGUCUCGGAACUUAACCCUAAGCAUACAUCUGGUUCAGUUCUGCGCUGAGUCGUCCAAAAUCCUUUUUAAAUCAGCCGAUCGUGCUACUCGACGCUGCUGGUCCUGCUGAAAGGCGGGCACCGUGGUCAAGAUGAAGCCAAGUGUUGAUGGACUAGGAGGGAGGAUAUCCAGUCACCGAAUGGUGCGCGAGAGGAGAUUGCCAUGAGUUAUUGUAAGAGCCUCUGGUCCGAGGACGCUCGUCAGCUCUCUCCGCUGGAACCGGCACUCUGGCCGAAAAUAGGCUGUCCUUGAGAUGCUGUUGGCAUUGAUGGGCGGAAAAAGGGACGCCGUCUGUUGGGACCUGCAUCGGUGGCUUCAUCGCCAUGAUGCACGGUCCGUGGCAUGAGGCUUGAGCACAGAAUGGGCCUCAAACAGUCAGAAAUCGCGUUUCAUCAUGUCCGUAUGGCACCUUGCCGGAAGCCUGCCUCACAGCAGUGUCGCGAGGGCCAUCUGGGAACACACAGAAAUGCAACGGUUUCUGACGGGCCGCAACGCCACUCUGCAAUGCUCUCGGAUGCUUCCUAUAUGCCCCCUUGUUCAAACAGGGCGCCUGCCAACACGACUACCAACGUCUUGAUCUCCGCUUGUCAGCCCUUUGCUCCUUGGAUCACACCACAGCACCCAGCCCUUGGUGUGUGAUGAACUCGCAUCUAGCCUGGCCACGCGCAUUAACCUUCGGUCGUUGGCUCUGUCCCUCGAUAUCGUAAGGACGCCAGUUCCCUGCUGGAUUCUCCAGUGAUUGCCUCGGUGGAUCUUGUCGAGAGACUACCCGAGAUGACAACGCGUUUUUUGCGGAUGUGUUUUGUGCGCGUGUAAAGGCCCUCCUAACCCUACGAGUUCUGGAGAGGAAACAAAAACAAGUCCUAGUUGGCAGUGCGAACCAAACAGAAGGGGGCUUCUUGGGCCGCAUCUAGAAGACUUGGGCUGCGAUACGCUGCUCGGACUUUUGGACUCGAUGAUCUUGAAGAAAGCAGCGGGUCUAUUACAGGAUUGGCUUCGGACAUCGGCUCGUUAGGGACAUUGCAGGAACGACUUGAUGUCAAGUUGGCGUGGAACCGGGACCCAUCUCGAGUUGGAGUCAAAGUUCAGUACUUGUCCGGUUCCAUGUCCGGCUUGGUCUAUGAGUCAGAUCCGCGGACUGUCAUCCGUUGGUUCGUGUUUUUUCCCUCGUCGUACUUGAUACGGCUAUUGGACCAUAAGGACAAGCCAUGGAUUUGGAGGGCAGUCCUGGUUGUCCUUCUCCCAGAAAUGGCUGGAGGACAACCCCCCGGCGGCGAGG